GCAGUCGAACGAGAAACGGUCUAGCUUGCUAGAUGCAGUCUAAGUGGCGCACGGGUGAGUAAUGUAUAGCUAAUGUGCCCCUUGGAGGGGGAUAACAGUUGGAAACGGCUGCUAAUACCCCAUACUCCUUCAUUCUUAAUGAGUGAAGGGAAAGUUUUUUCGCCAAGGGAUCAGGCUAUAUGGUAUCAGCUAGUUGGUGAGGUAACGGCUCACCAAGGCAAUGACGCCUAACUGGUCUGAGAGGAUGAUCAGUCACACUGGAACUGAGACACGGUCCAGACUCCUACGGGAGGCAGCAGUGGGGAAUAUUGCACAAUGGAGGAAACUCUGAUGCAGCAACGCCGCGUGGAGGAUGACGCAUUUCGGUGUGUAAACUCCUUUUAUAUAGGAAGAUAAUGACAGUACUAUAUGAAUAAGCACCGGCUAACUCCGUGCC
RNAcentral lists this ribosomal RNA (436 nucleotides) under uncultured bacterium. RNAcentral's name for it is "bacterial SSU rRNA". It matches the Rfam family "Bacterial small subunit ribosomal RNA", at positions 57 to 509 of the family's 1533-position model. The record is from RNAcentral.